CCUACGGGAGACAGCAGUGGGGGAUAUUGCACAAUGGGGGGAACCCUGAUGCAGCGACGCCGCGUGGGUGAAGGAGUGCUUCGGCACGUAAAGCCCUAUCGGCAGGGAAGAAGCAAGACGGUACCUGACUAAGAAGCCCCGGCUAACUCCGGGCCAGCAGCCGCGGCAAUACGGAGGGGGCGAGCGUUAUCCGGAUGCACUGGGUGUAAGGGGAGCGUAGACGGCCAGGCAAGCCAGGGGUGAAAGCCCGGGGCCCAACCCCGGGACUGCCCUUGGAACUGCAAGGCUGGAGUGCGGGAGGGGCAGGCGGAAUUCCUGGUGUAGCGGUGAAAUGCGUAGAUAGCAGGAGGAACACCAGCGGCGAAGGCGGCCUGCUGGACCGCGACUGACGUUGAGGCGCGAAAGCGUGGGGAGCGAACAGGAUUAGAUACCCUAGUAGUC
Molecule: ribosomal RNA, 441 nt
Filed under: uncultured bacterium
Lineage: Bacteria
Description: partial 16S ribosomal RNA
Rfam family: Bacterial small subunit ribosomal RNA
Source: RNAcentral